This 93-nucleotide non-coding RNA is filed under the name uncultured Microbacterium sp. RNAcentral's name for it is "Glycine". It matches the Rfam family "Glycine riboswitch aptamer". Rfam says of the family: This family represents the bacterial glycine riboswitch. Lineage: Bacteria; Bacillati; Actinomycetota; Actinomycetes; Micrococcales; Microbacteriaceae. The record is from RNAcentral.
CCGCUCUGAAAAGCGAUUCUUCGAAUCCGCCGACGGUGAAAGCCGGGCCUGUGCGCCCGGUGAAGCUCUCAGGCCCAUGACAGAGGGGGAGUU